Long non-coding RNA from Chelonia mydas (Green sea turtle), 738 nucleotides. RefSeq lists it as uncharacterized. NCBI's taxonomy places the organism in Eukaryota, Metazoa, Chordata, Testudines, Cheloniidae. The transcript has 3 exons. The record is from RefSeq and is a predicted model, not a curated record.
CAGAAGCAGUUGAGAGUUUCCUGAUUCUGAGGGGCCUGCAGGAAGGUGUUUAUGCCCUGAUACUGUCUUGGAGGGAAAGUGUAGCUGGGGAGAAGCAGACUCAUAAAGCAGGCCUGGGAUAUGAGAGACUCCAAGGAAGAAAUUCCAAGGGUCAGUGGCUUGGGGGGAGCCAGGCCUUCAGAGAGGCAGGGCUCUGUAAUAGAGUGAGGAAGAACUUUGCAGAGCCCAGGAGAGGGGUGAAAAGCCUGUGCAGCACUGGUGCCAGGUCAUUGUUCCUUUGAGUUUGGAUGAUGUUACCCCAGAUGGGAUAGGACUCAUAGUGUGACCCAGCUGGAGAGCCAUGUUACUGCACAGACCACUGAAAUCUGGAGGAGGGUAAGACGGAGAAGCUGCAACACCAGGUUUUCCACAAGGAGGUGCUCUGGGAUGGGGAAAAUUACAUGUCCAGUGAAUUUGGGUGUUGGAGCAACAUGCUUCCUUCUUCCUGCAUGAGACUAUAAACAUGAGCAAUGAAUACGAGAUUGCCACAUCUGCUCUUUUAUCAUCUUCACCGACUUCCGCUUCUGAUCCUACUUGGGGCCUGGAAGUACAUUUCCCAGAAACGCAAAAUAAUAGCGGGAAAGGUUAACUGAACGCUUUUGAACUUCCAGAAAUUCUGGUUUAGGCUCUGUGUAAGCUUUGGGUCAAAUGUUUGGGGACCUCUGUAUGUAUUUUAUCUGAAGUAGUCCAAUGAUUAUG